This 510-nucleotide ribosomal RNA is filed under the name uncultured Staphylococcus sp. RNAcentral's name for it is "bacterial SSU rRNA". It matches the Rfam family "Bacterial small subunit ribosomal RNA", at positions 15 to 507 of the family's 1533-position model. The record is from RNAcentral. Lineage: Bacteria; Bacillati; Bacillota; Bacilli; Caryophanales; Staphylococcaceae.
UAUCCUGGCUCAGGAUGAACGCUGGCGGCGUGCCUAAUACAUGCAAGUCGAGCGAACAGAUAAGGAGCUUGCUCCUUUGACGUUAGCGGCGGACGGGUGAGUAACACGUGGGUAACCUACCUAUAAGACUGGAAUAACUCCGGGAAACCGGGGCUAAUGCCGGAUAACAUGUUGAACCGCAUGGUUCUACAAUGAAAGGCGGCUUUGCUGUCACUUAUAGAUGGACCCGCGCCGUAUUAGCUAGUUGGUGAGGUAACGGCUCACCAAGGCAACGAUACGUAGCCGACCUGAGAGGGUGAUCGGCCACACUGGAACUGAGACACGGUCCAGACUCCUACGGGAGGCAGCAGUAGGGAAUCUUCCGCAAUGGGCGAAAGCCUGACGGAGCAACGCCGCGUGAGUGAUGAAGGUCUUCGGAUCGUAAAACUCUGUUAUUAGGGAAGAACAAAUGCGUAAGUAACUGUGCGCGUCUUGACGGUACCUAAUCAGAAAGCCACGGCUAACUACGUG